CUUUAUUGUAGUGCUCGCGCAGUUAAAAUUCUGAAUUCACCUAUAUGUAGUAGAUUUUUCUCGUGUUCCCAAAUAAAUCAGUGAAGAACAAAUAGAUCAAAUAAUUAUAAUUUUCAAUUAAAAAAAAACAUGACAGUGAUAGUUUUAUUUGCAGCCUUUGCAGCUCUCUUAGGUCUUGCAAUUUCUCAAUUUCUUUGUGUAGAGUGCUUGGAAUCUACGGAUGAUGAUAUAAUGAGAGACAUUGCUGAAGAAGUAACCGUAUGCUGUAUAGAAUGUUGUUGUCGUCGGUGCAAAAAAGAGGAAGAAAGAAAUGAAUCAAGAGAAGAAACAAGAUAGAAUUGGAGGAAAUCUCAUUUGAUUAAUGAAAAGGUUUUUUUAAUGGCUAAAAUGACAAAUAAAAUAUUUUACUAAUAAGUUUAUUAAUUUUUUAAAAUGAUGGAGUGAUUAAUCAAGUAACUACGCAAGUGAAAUACCAACUCGUACACAUUACGUCUACAGGUUAUCACUGGCCUAAACUCAUAUCUCCAGUCGAUAAGAACUACUAAAUAGGCAAUGUUCGUUAAUUCCUCUUUAGUACAUUUUUGAGUCUUAAACGUGCAGAAGAAGAAAAGCUAAAAUCCAGAAGAAAAUAUGGCCGUAAUAAUUCUAUUUGCAGCUCUAUUGGGUCUUGGAAUAUCUCAAUUUCUUUGUGCUGAGUGCCUAGAAUCUACAUCAACUGAUCCAACGGAUGAAGUAAUCGAUGCAACAAUUGAUUGUUGUUGCCUUAUGUGCGAAAAUAAGGAAGAAGAUAAAAGGGAAGAUGCACAAGAAAUGAAUAGACUUUGAGGAAAAUUCUUUUGAAGAUGAAAAUUCUGACAAAAUUACAAAUUAUAUUUUUUGUAAGUUUAAAGCAAUAAAAAACGCGACAAAUUU
Lutzomyia longipalpis is the source of this 912-nucleotide long non-coding RNA. RefSeq lists it as uncharacterized. NCBI's taxonomy places the organism in Eukaryota, Metazoa, Arthropoda, Insecta, Diptera, Psychodidae. The transcript has 3 exons. The record is from RefSeq and is a predicted model, not a curated record.